This 371-nucleotide long non-coding RNA is filed under the name Mytilus galloprovincialis (Mediterranean mussel). Lineage: Eukaryota; Metazoa; Mollusca; Bivalvia; Mytilida; Mytilidae. The record is from RNAcentral.
AUAUAAUCAACAAUUUUUUUUCAACGAAUGGGGGGCAGGGCCUCCAGGCCUCCCCUGGGAUCCGCCUAUGGUUUAUAAUCAACGGCGGUCACUGCGGAUAUAUUUCUGUACAUACUUACAUGUAUACAUUUACUAUGAAUAACUGUAUUUGUUAUAAUUUACUAUAAAUUCCUUUUCUGUACCUUGAACAUACAAAGACUAUGAAUAAAGUAUAUAAAUUUGCUAUCUGCUAUCAUUUUGAGUUAGCAUUCAUAAUACUUGCUUUGGUUAUUUUGGGAGGAAAACGAAAAUGAAUAAUAUUGGCUAUUUACUAUCAAUUAGUUUACAGUGGCGGAUCCAGAACUUUUCAUAAGGGAGGGGGCACUGACUGA